RNAcentral lists this small RNA (148 nucleotides) under Papio anubis (olive baboon). Its description in RNAcentral is "Metazoan signal recognition particle RNA (ENSPANG00000041840.1)". Lineage: Eukaryota; Metazoa; Chordata; Mammalia; Primates; Cercopithecidae. The record is from Rfam by way of RNAcentral.
GCCGGGUGUGGUGGCGCAGGCCUGUAAUCCCAGCUACUCGGGAGGCUGAGGCAGGAGAAUUGCUUGAACUCAGGAGGCAGAGGUGGCAGUGAGCCAAAAUUGCGCCACUGCACUCCAGCCUGGGCGACAGGGCAAGACUCUGUCUCAA